Molecule: non-coding RNA, 4913 nt
Organism: Paramormyrops kingsleyae
Lineage: Eukaryota; Metazoa; Chordata; Actinopteri; Osteoglossiformes; Mormyridae
Source: RefSeq, a predicted model, not a curated record
UGGUAACUCAGUCCCCUUUUUCCCCCCACUACGACGCCCCUGUACUGAACGGUUUGCAUUCGUUGCUUUUUAUUUCUUGCUUUGUUUGUUAAUUCAGUUCCCCACCUUCCGUAUAUGGCAAAUAUUUCGCAAGUAUAGCUGUCUUUUGCCGUAUUGUGUUGAUACUGGCGCUGGGGGUGAUUUUUUUUCUCCUUUUUCCUUAUUGGAAGGAGACGUAUGAAAACCUUAUGUUUAAAUUAUAAAGUUCACGCCACUGUCUUGUGCUGAGUCCGCAUGAGAGAAGGAAUCGCCCUCUAAAAUAAGCGUUUUAAGUCACCAGUCCUACACUGAAGCCACCCGGGUAGCGUGGUGAAUGAUUAAACACACUGCGGUGCAUCUGUGCUUCACAGUCUAGGCUUUCAGACUGACAAUAUGUGCAUCCUGCUAGAGCAGGGACGCCAUGCAGGCAGCGUGGGUGUGUCUUUAGGACCCCGCAGAUGCCGGUCUUCCCCGCCGCUUACCCGGCGAUCCGGCUCGGCUGACUGCGCUGCCAGGCUGGGAGCUUCGGCGAACCGCUCCUCCUGCUAGUCUCCACCAGCCCUAGGCAUCGUUUCACCCGGACCUUGCAUUUCUACGAGGAAAAAAAGACAACAAAGAAAGGAUAUGCUGCGGGAAUGGUGUGCCUUGGCUGAGGCGGCUGCGUCCGCGGCUUAAGCAGCUGUCAGUCAAUAUGCGCAGCCUCCUCUUUCCAAAAAAUACCUGAAGAGGCUGGAGACACAAUAUUUAAUGCGUCCGAUGACGGCUGCAGCUUUUCCCGACUGAUAAAUAAAUUGUGCAUUUUGAAUUUGCCUCUUUUUGCAGUUUGGAGGGCUGUACUGAGGAAUUUAUGUUUUUUGUUUUUUCAUUUUUUGUAGUUAACGUAGGUAUGAACAGGCUUCACGCUGCUCUACGCCCGGUGGAUGCAUUGUAUCAUUUGCAUGAUUGGGGCAUCAUUCCGGCUGUUAUUAGCGAGGAGCAAGAUGUGCAUUGACGUGUGAGCGCCGAUCUCCUAAUGCGACGCGGUUACCCCCGAUCCCGGUGAUCCCGUCCGUCAGACUGGGCUGCUUAAGGGGGCUGUACCCACAUAUCUGGGAGAAACCAUUAAUCAAAUACCGCUCUCCCCAGUAAGCAAUAAUGUCAGCCAUAGAACUGGAGCACUUUGACGAGCGGGACAAGGCGCAUCGGGCUUCACGCCGGACCGGCUCGGGCUCGCAGGCUGGAUCCAGGGGCAGCAGCCUGGUACCGAGUCCGGCGCACAGCGCCAACUGCAGCUUCUACCGCACGCGGACCCUGCAGGCUCUCAGCUCGGAGAAGAAGGCCAAGAAAGUGCGCUUUUACCGCAAUGGGGACAGAUACUUCAAGGGUCUGCCGUACGCGGUGUCCGGCGACCGCUUCAGGUCCUUCAGCGCGCUGCUCAUGGAGCUCACCAAAUCCCUGUCGGACAGCAGCAGCCUGCCCCAGGGCGUCCGCUGCAUCUACACGCUGGACGGCACAAGCAAGAUAACCAGCCUGGACGAUUUCGUAGAAGGUGAGAGCUACGUCUGCGCCUCCAAUGAGGCAUAUCGCAAGGUGGACUACGCCCAGAACACCAACCCCAACUGGUCGGUGAACGUGAAGGCGGGGGGGGCAAAACCCCGCAGCAGCCCGGGCUCGCCCCGCAGCAAGCCGCGCGACACCAAGGACUUCAUCAAGCCCAAGCUGGUGACCGUGAUCCGCGGCGGCGUCAAGCCCCGAAAGGCCGUGCGCGUGCUGCUCAACAAGAAGACCGCCCACUCCUUCGAGCAGGUUCUGGCUGACAUCACAGAGGCCAUCAAGCUGGACUCAGGGCCUGUCAAGCGACUCUAUACUCUGGAUGGCAAGCAGAUCACCUGUCUGCAGGACUUCUUUGGAGGUGACGAUGUCUUCAUUGCCUGUGGUCCUGAGAAAUACCGCUAUGCUCAAGAUGAUUUCGGACUCGAUCUCAGUGGCAAGGCCUCUGCUAGCUUUGUGAGCGAGUGCCGAGGGCUGAAGUCCUCAUCCAAUGCUCCAAGGCCGUCCGGGCCCAAGAGCCCAAGUCUGCAGCGCCGGAACAAGCCCCCGGCCACAGGUGCCAGUCAGAGGUCUCCAACCAGGCCGACCAACUCCCCCAGCCCCAGCAGCAGCAUGCUGAGCCGCAGGCUCUCCCCGCAUCGCAUCUCCACCUCCAGCGUGAACCGGGCUGCGGAUGAGACUGAAGACUUAAGCCCAGAAGCAGUGAAUGGAAACACUGUGCAGACCUCCUCGGCCAUCCUGGACAAGUACAAGGUUGGGAAGGUCAUCGGAGAUGGCAACUUCGCCGUGGUGAAGGAGUGCGUGGAGCGGGCCACCGGGAUGGAGUUUGCCCUGAAGAUCAUCGACAAGGCCAAGUGCAGCGGAAAGGAGCACCUGAUCGAGAACGAGGUGGCCAUCCUUCGGAGAGUCAAGCAUCCCAACAUCAUCAUGCUGAUCGAGGAAGUCGACACACCUACAGAGCUCUACCUGGUCAUGGAGCUGGUCAAGGGUGGGGACCUGUUUGAUGCCAUAACCUCCUCUACGAAGUACACAGAGCAGGACGCGAGUGCCAUGGUCUACAACCUGGCCAGCGUCCUCAAGUACCUGCACAGCCUGAACAUCGUGCACAGGGACAUCAAGCCGGAGAACCUGCUGGUCUGCGAGUACUCCGAUGGCACCAAGUCUCUGAAGCUGGGAGACUUUGGCUUGGCCACCGUCGUCGAGGGGCCGCUGCACACCGUGUGUGGGACGCCCACCUAUGUCGCCCCGGAGAUCAUUGCUGAGACUGGGUAUGGGCUGAAGGUGGACAUCUGGGCGGCCGGAGUCAUUACCUACAUCCUGCUAUGUGGCUUCCCCCCCUUCCGCAGUGAGAACAACCUGCAGAAGGACCUAUUUGAGCAGAUCCUGGUGGGCAAACUGGAAUUCCCGUCUCCUUACUGGGACAGCAUCUCAGACUCUGCCAAAGAGCUGAUUGGCCAGAUGCUGCAGGUGAAUGUGGAAGCCCGCUACACUGCCGAGGACGUCCUCGCCCACCCAUGGGUGACGGAUGAUGUCAUGGUGGAAGGCAGUGUGAGGGUGGAGUCUGCAGAGCCUAAUGAAGCAGGAGAGGAGGACGAGAGCCCUGUGGGCGCAUCUGUCGCCAUGGUGAGGCGCUACUCUCACACUCAGGCCGGACAGUGCAUUCAGGGGUACUGCAAAUGGGAUGGAAACCCAGGAUGAUUCAAGCUACCAAGACAUGGCGACGGGCCCCCGAACAUGCCAGAAGGGUGGGGGGAGGGUUCUGUCCUCACCACCUGAUUUCACUGUAUUUUAUAAAUACCUCUUUUCAUUCCAACAUAUAGUUACUCAGAGAAACAAUAUGAAUAAUCUCAUUUCACAGCACGGAAUUGGUGCCUGUAACCGAGCUGAAUGAAAAGCCUGUUUGAAUGCAGUGCAGGGAGCAGAGCAGGAAGCUUUAGGAAUCCUGCAAACUGGAAUGCUGCCUGCGAAAUGUAAAACAGAAUAUUCUGGGCAGUGACACGGAGCGCAGCGUCUGCAGGGGCCGGGGUCUGUGGCCGUCCGUCACUGGGAAUGAGCUCGCCGACUGACGGAGGCUGCCCGGGCUGUACUGCGCUGUGUCGGUGUGGGGCCUGGGGCAGUCUAGGGGGCGGCUGCAGUCAGCCGUCGGGGCUGAUGUGAAGGACAGUGCGAUCCGCCGCUUGCUGCUCUCGGCAGUUUUUUGUCCUGUAGAUGGAGGGCUUCAGUCCCCAGGGAGGUGUGGAGGUGCGACUUUGCCGUAAACGGCAGCGGCGACCGACUGACCUCCAUUCCCUGUGGAUAGGCUGCUCCCCGAGUGUGUGGCUGCCAGUGCCAGGGUCCCCUCGGCCCCAGGUCCCCCUGAGCAUGUGACUGUAGGCCCCUGGGUGGCCCCAUGCUGCUCCAGUUUUCAAGCUGCGCUCAGCGGACCCGUCCGAUGUCCCGUUCCGUUUGCUUCAUGCGCCGCUUGCGAGGGCCGGCUCGCAGGAGUACAGCGCUAUUCCUCCUGACAUCCUCCGCCGCCUGUCACAGCUCUCCUACGGCGUGGCGCCUCUCAGGCACGCCUGAAACGGACUUGCUGUCCGCGGAGCUCUUCCUCCCGUUCAGUCUCGCUCUGUAUUUUCAGCACUGAAUCCUGGAUGGCUGAUGCUGCCGCUCGGUAUGGGAAAUGCUCCUUUUUCAAACAUGCAGCGUCUUGUGGCUUUUGGCAGCUGCUUUUAUGUAGGGGAACGAGCUGUUCUAAUAUUACAAACACACUGCUUUACAGUGUGCCAUGUUAUAUGUUCACUGGACAUUCUGCAGUCAAAUACAUUAUUUAAGUGUACAUAUGGUGAUUAUUUAAAUAUCUAUUUUAUUUAAAUGUAGGUUUUAGAAUUAUGCUGCAAGCCUAAUUAUGAAUAUUAAUUGUAUAUUUCAUACAAAGACAAUUACAUAGAAACCAAAACACAUUUGUUUGAGUUACAGUGCCACCUAGUGCUAGGAAGUGGCAAGGCAACUUUCACUGCUAUUUCACUGCUAUUUCACUGCUAUUUCACUGCUAUGCUGCUGUAUCUCGGCAGAGGCAGAGAAACAUGUUGCCUUAUAUAAACUAACCUGACCCAGUGGUCAUAAUGUGCAAGCAAAGCUUACUAAUGUAGCCUCUAGACGUCUGCUUGGACGCUGUACUACAUUAACUGCUUUUAUCCCUCUGCUCUUUUACACCUGCCUGGUCACUCUGCUUAGCUCCAAGAUGACGACGAGCACAGCUCCAGGUAAACAGCAUCCUGUCCUGUCCAGAGGCCCAUGGUGGGACACCUUCCAAACCCCCCCACUGCGUGUCUCCCUCCUCCCAGUGCCAGUGGGGACUUUCAGCGGGGUCCAGGCAGACCCCG